This 1127-nucleotide ribosomal RNA is filed under the name uncultured bacterium. RNAcentral describes it as "bacterial SSU rRNA". It matches the Rfam family "Bacterial small subunit ribosomal RNA", at positions 353 to 1482 of the family's 1533-position model. The record is from RNAcentral.
AGUGAGGAAUAUUGGGCAAUAGGCGCAAGCCUGACCCAGCCAUGCCGCGUGCAGGAUGAAGGCCCUAUGGGUUGUAAACUGCUUUUGUACGGGACGAACCUCCCGAUCGUGAUCGGGACUGACGGUACUGUACGAAUAAGCAUCGGCUAACUCCGUGCCAGCAGCCGCGGUAAUACGGAGGAUGCAAGCGUUAUCCGGAUUCAUUGGGUUUAAAGGGUGCGUAGGCGGGGCGGUAAGUCAGUGGUGAAAGCCUGCAGCUUAACUGUAGAAUUGCCAUUGAUACUGUCGCUCUUGAAUGCGGUUGAGGCAGGCGGAAUGUGUAAUGUAGCGGUGAAAUGCUUAGAUAUUACACAGAACACCGAUUGCGUAGGCAGCUUGCUAAACCGUGAUUGACGCUGAGGCACGAAAGCGUGGGGAGCAAACAGGAUUAGAUACCCUGGUAGUCCACGCUGUAAACGAUGAUCACUCGCUGUUGGCGAUAUACUGUCAGCGGCUAAGCGAAAGCAUUAAGUGAUCCACCUGGGGAGUACGACGGCAACGUUGAAACUCAAAGGAAUUGACGGGGGCCCGCACAAGCGGAGGAACAUGUGGUUUAAUUCGAUGAUACGCGAGGAACCUUACCUGGGCUUAAAUGGGAGACGACUUCUGCCGAAAGGUGGAUUUCCUUCGGGACGGCUCUCAAGGUGCUGCAUGGUUGUCGUCAGCUCGUGCCGUGAGGUGUCGGGUUAAGUCCCAUAACGAGCGCAACCCCUAUCGUUAGUUGCCAACGGGUAAUGCCGGGGACUCUAGCGAAACUGCCAGCGUAAGCUGUGAGGAAGGUGGGGAUGACGUCAAAUCAGCACGGCCCUUACGUCCAGGGCUACACACGUGUUACAAUGGCCGGUACAGAGGGCUGCUACUGGGCGACCAGAUGCUAAUCUCUAAAGCCGGUCUUAGUUCGGAUUGAAGUCUGAAACUCGACUUCAUGAAGUUGGAUUCGCUAGUAAUCGCGCAUCAGCCACGGCGCGGUGAAUCCGUUCCCGGGCCUUGUACACACCGCCCGUCAAGCCAUGGAAGCCAGGGGUACCUGAAGUCCGUGAUCCCGAUUCGUCGGGAAGCGGCCUAGGGUAAAACUGGUGACUGGGGCU